RNAcentral lists this ribosomal RNA (522 nucleotides) under uncultured Ambisporaceae. RNAcentral describes it as "SSU rRNA". It matches the Rfam family "Eukaryotic small subunit ribosomal RNA", at positions 569 to 1092 of the family's 1831-position model. The record is from RNAcentral. Lineage: Eukaryota; Fungi; Glomeromycota; Glomeromycetes; Archaeosporales; Ambisporaceae.
AGCAGCCGCGGUAAUUCCAGCUCCAAUAGCGUAUAUUAAAGUUGUUGCAGUUAAAAAGCUCGUAGUUGAAUUUUGGGUCUGGCCGGGCGGUCCGCCCUCUGGGUGAGCACUGUUCCGACGCCGGGCCUAUCCUUCUGGUGAGUCGGCAUGUCCUUUAUUGGGUGUGUCGGGGAACCAGGACCAUUACCUUGAAAAAAUUAGAGUGUUCAAAGCAGGCGUAUGCUCGGAUACAUUAGCAUGGAAUAAUGAAAUAGGACGCGUGGUGCUAUUUUGUUGGUUUCUAGAACCGCCGUAAUGAUUAAUAGGGAUAGUUGGGGGCAUUAGUAUUCAAUUGUCAGAGGUGAAAUUCUUGGAUUUAUUGAAGACUAACUUCUGCGAAAGCAUUUGCCAAGGAUGUUUUCAUUAAUCAAGAACGAAAGUUAGGGGAUCGAAGACGAUCAGAUACCGUCGUAGUCUUAACCAUAAACUAUGCCGACUAGGAAUCGGGCGAUGUUAUUCUCAUGACUCGCCCGGCGCCUUAUG